CAGCAGCCACGGGAAUACGAAGGGGGCUAGCGUUGCUCGGAAUGACUGGGCGUAAAGGGCGCGUAGGCGGCGGCCAAAGUCAGGCGUGAAAUUCCCGGGCUCAACCUGGGGGCUGCGUUUGAUACUUGGUUGCUUGAGUGGGGAAGAGGGUCGUGGAAUUCCCAGUGUAGAGGUGAAAUUCGUAGAUAUUGGGAAGAACACCGAUGGCGAAGGCAGCCCCCUGGGCCAACACUGACGCUCAUGCACGAAAGCGUGGGGAGCAAACAGGAUUAGAUACCCCAGUAGUCCCUGUCUCUUAUAC
Molecule: ribosomal RNA, 301 nt
Filed under: uncultured bacterium
Lineage: Bacteria
Description: partial 16S ribosomal RNA
Rfam family: Bacterial small subunit ribosomal RNA
Source: RNAcentral